AAACUGAAGAGUUUGAUCCUGGCUCAGAUUGAACGCUGGCGGCAUGCCUUACACAUGCAAGUCGAACGGCAGCGCGG
RNAcentral lists this ribosomal RNA (77 nucleotides) under Duganella sp. 3397. Its description in RNAcentral is "partial 16S ribosomal RNA". It matches the Rfam family "Bacterial small subunit ribosomal RNA", at positions 1 to 77 of the family's 1533-position model. The record is from RNAcentral. Lineage: Bacteria; Pseudomonadati; Pseudomonadota; Betaproteobacteria; Burkholderiales; Oxalobacteraceae.